This 229-nucleotide ribosomal RNA is filed under the name uncultured bacterium. Its description in RNAcentral is "partial 16S ribosomal RNA". It matches the Rfam family "Bacterial small subunit ribosomal RNA", at positions 568 to 796 of the family's 1533-position model. The record is from RNAcentral.
UCCGUAGGCGGGCGUCUAAGUCAGUGGUGAAAUCUUACAGCUCAACUGUAAAAUUGCCAUUGAUACUGGAUGUCUUGAAUUAGUGUGAAGUGGUUAGAAUGUGUAGUGUAGCGGUGAAAUGCAUAGAUAUUACACAGAAUACCAAUUGCGAAGGCAGAUCACUAACACUAUAGUGACGCUGAGGGACGAAAGCGUGGGGAGCGAACAGGAUUAGAUACCCUGGUAGUCC